RNAcentral lists this ribosomal RNA (253 nucleotides) under uncultured bacterium. RNAcentral's name for it is "partial 16S ribosomal RNA". It matches the Rfam family "Bacterial small subunit ribosomal RNA", at positions 524 to 776 of the family's 1533-position model. The record is from RNAcentral.
UACGAGGGGGGCUAGCGUUGUUCGGAAUUACUGGGCGUAAAGCGCGCGCAGGCGGGUCAUCAAGUCAGGGGUGAAAGUCCAGAGCUCUACUCUGGAACUGCCCUUGAAACUGGUGACCUUGAGUACGGGAGAGGUGAGUGGAAUUCCCAGUGUAGAGGUGAAAUUCGUAGAUAUUGGGAAGAACACCGGUGGCGAAGGCGGCUCACUGGCCCGUAACUGACGCUCAGGCGCGAUAGCGUGGGGAUCGAACAGG